RNAcentral lists this ribosomal RNA (466 nucleotides) under Vreelandella stevensii. RNAcentral's name for it is "partial 16S ribosomal RNA". It matches the Rfam family "Bacterial small subunit ribosomal RNA", at positions 338 to 795 of the family's 1533-position model. Lineage: Bacteria; Pseudomonadati; Pseudomonadota; Gammaproteobacteria; Oceanospirillales; Halomonadaceae. The record is from RNAcentral.
CCUACGGGAGGCAGCAGUGGGGAAUAUUGGACAAUGGGCGAAAGCCUGAUCCAGCCAUGCCGCGUGUGUGAAGAAGGCCUUCGGGUUGUAAAGCACUUUCAGUGGGGAAGAAAGCCUUGGGGCUAAUACCCUCGAGGAAGGACAUCACCCACAGAAGAAGCACCGGCUAACUCCGUGCCAGCAGCCGCGGUAAUACGGAGGGUGCGAGCGUUAAUCGGAAUUACUGGGCGUAAAGCGCGCGUAGGCGGUCUGAUAAGCCGGUUGUGAAAGCCCCGGGCUCAACCUGGGAACGGCAUCCGGAACUGUCAGGCUAGAGUGCAGGAGAGGAAGGUAGAAUUCCCGGGGUAGCGGGGAAAUGCGUAGAGAUCGGGAGGAAUACCAGUGGCGAAGGCGGCCUUCUGGACUGACACUGACGCUGAGGUGCGAAAGCGUGGGUAGCAAACAGGAUUAGAUACCCCGUGUAGUC